This 563-nucleotide long non-coding RNA is filed under the name Mytilus galloprovincialis (Mediterranean mussel). Lineage: Eukaryota; Metazoa; Mollusca; Bivalvia; Mytilida; Mytilidae. The record is from RNAcentral.
AGAAAAUAUGACAGAUACAAUGAACCUUUAAAUGGCAUUUUUAAGCCACUCAUUAAUAUAUAUUGAAAAGCAAAAAUAAAUCAUUGAUGAAAGAUUUAAGCAAAAAAUAUAACAGGUGAGGGAUUCAGGCUCUUGGGAGCCUCUUGUUUUGAGUUAGUUAGCACCUGAACAGGACCUGAUGACCAUAUUCAUUUUUCAUCAGACUCGAAAUACAAAAUCACAUGAACAGAUGACCUCUAUUAUGAUUUCAAGGUUGAAACACAACCAUAUCUCUGUAACAACAUAUCAGACUACUUUGCUUCACAGCCUUGAUUAGGCUUCAUGAACUUAAAUAAUCACAAUAAAGAAAGGAUGACACAUUAGGUCUAGAUUUUAAAAAUUCAAACAAAGGUCAUGAAUUAAAAGACAAAAUAUAUAGUGACCAUGUUUUAAAACUAGUGCUUAUGUAUUAAUCAGCUGCAAACUAAUUGUACAGUUUUGUUAGAGUUGAAUUUGUUAAAUAUGUUGUUUGUUGUUUUGUUACAAGUUUAAAGACUUUUCUCUUUAUGUUGGUUGAUAUUCCU